UAUAUUGUAAUAUAAGAUGUAUAUUAAUUUUUGAUAUUAAAAGAAAUAGUUUAAUUCUAUUCAAUAUAA
RNAcentral lists this transfer RNA (69 nucleotides) under Luperomorpha xanthodera. RNAcentral describes it as "tRNA-Gln". RNAcentral also lists the same sequence under 1 other name. Lineage: Eukaryota; Metazoa; Arthropoda; Insecta; Coleoptera; Chrysomelidae. The record is from RNAcentral.